This is a long non-coding RNA of Gordionus sp. m RMFG-2023, 438 nucleotides long. RefSeq lists it as uncharacterized. The record is from RefSeq and is a predicted model, not a curated record. Lineage: Eukaryota; Metazoa; Nematomorpha; Gordioida; Chordodea; Parachordodidae. The transcript has 4 exons.
AUAGUUUUCAUUUAUAUUAGAGUCGUUAAAUAUUAUGGGUAAAAUAUUCUACCAACAUUGUGAAAACAUUUUCAAAGUAUUGUUUGCAAGAUGCGAGACAUACAUAAUAUUGCCAUAGGCAAUAUUAAUUUAGCCCAGCUCCAGCCGAGGGAUUACAAAACCCGCAAUACUGGGAAAAAUACUCCCUAUAAAACAAUGAUAAGGUGCUUAUCUGGAACAGACGUCGAGCUGAUAGGAAGGGUGGAAAAAUGACAUGGCCUUGGCUGGGUCCUUUUACAGUUGUGAAUGACAAAAGCAAUGUAGAGUAAUGAGUGCCUGUGGGAAACAGAUAAAAAUUCUAGAAAAUAUUUGUAACAUAAAACAUUAUGUUACAAGAAAAGAUGACACAAUUAAAGCAGGACAGAAAAAAGUUCCCAGGUUACCAAGUAAAAAGUUUCA